UUAUGAUUUCAGAACUGGAACCGAUGAGUUAUAGGAUUCAUUUUCCCCCUAACCUAAUGGAAGGAAGAAAUCAAAUUGCAUUCAGAAUCCUCAGCAAGAACAGAUACACCUUUUCAUCUAGUUAUUAAUAUUUACAACUGUCAUCAGAGGGGUUGUUUGAAAAUACAGCAAAUUCUUCUUCCUUCUUGACCUUGGGAAGGCUUGAAAGUGCCAAGUAUAAAGCAUUCACUAGCUAGAAAAUAUUAAGAGAAAUGAUCAGGUUUAUACCAGGUUGUUUAGAUGCAGAUAGUGAAAAAGACAAGCUGUGAGUAGAAAGCAGAUGAUUUGUAAGAGUACAGUUGGAAAAGUAUGUUUAUGGCAUUAAGCUGUGAUACUGAAGGUCUGGGAGGGCUGUGGGCACUCACACUCAUUUGAAAGUCAGUGGGAGCGGUGGCAUGAUCAACGUGCUAACGCAGCUGGUGAUGCUCAUCUCAGCUUGUAUCAAAACCCCAACCAAGCAGACAGUAUCACCUACGCAACAUUCUGACCAAGCUCCAGAUGUAACUGACUCUCUGCUCUCAUUCUCUUAAUUAUGCUUCAUCACUUAACUAUGUUCUUAUAAUAAAUGUGAGGGGUCAUCAUAUUAGUGGGAUGUGAGGGUGGGUUAGGACUGAAAGUCAACACUUGGAUUGAGGGACCCCUGAGACAUGCAAUAAUGCAGUUAUUAUAUGUUAUUGAUAUGUGUGGAUCGUAGUCCACAGAGGUAAAAUGAUAGUGGUACCAAAGGGGUUUGCUCAUGCACCACAUGACAUUCAGUAAACUUUGUCAGUUGUGCUCCUUUAAUCUGAAGGAAUUAAUCUGAAGAAAGAUUCAAGGGAUGAGAUUGAUUAAAAAGCUCACAAAGAGACCAGUUACUGUUACUUCCAUAAUGAUUCCUGUCUGGUCUCCAUUUUCUUCUAACUGCUGAUCAAGUAAAUGUUUGAUUGGAAACCUGAUCUUGAGAUUAUUUCCCAGCGGCAAAAAUCCUGACUAAAAUAACCCAUAACCACCCCCUAUCCAAGCUCACCCAUUUUCCCUAAAACAAAAGCAUCUUUUUGAGGCUUUUAUGCCUCUCUCUCAUGCUUCAUACCAAUUAUAGUGUAAAGGAGUUUAUUCUCCUUUAUUGUAUCUGCAUAUAGUUUGUUUUUCCCCAUUAGUUUAGAAAAUUCCUGUUCAGCUACUGCAAGCGUUCCUUGCUUGAUAACCUGUUUCUUUUUUCCAUUAACUGUUUGAAUUCUAAAGCAGAGGUUGCUACCUCCCACUAACAAAUCUGCUCUACCAGCAGUACCAAUAAAACCUGCUAAAAACCACCAAGAGAAUGUUUAAGGCUGCAUUCUGGAUUUUAGCAUCCAUCUUCUGGUUUACUGAGAAGGUAAAAGAUGUGCACGAAGCAUAUGGAUGAUGCACUGUUCUGCAAGAUGCUGUGACUAGAAGUGCUGAAACACGAGACGCUGACUCAAAGGAAAAUAUUCAGCUUCCUCUCUGAACUUGCCCAUGGAUUUCAUGAGAAGAGGAGCAGCUCGAUUGUCCUGGUGAUCCCAUCCUGCUGGACACCCCACCGGAUAGCUAUGGAAAGCUUCCAAACCCAGGAGAGCAAACACGGUUCCUGCGCGAACAAAUCCCCUACAAAACACCUGCAGCUUUCUGUGUUCUGCAGGUUUGAAAAUAACCCAAGCAAAAACCCAGCAAAACAACCAGGCUUCCCAUCUCAGGGUAAAUUGAUUCCCAAAGCAUGGAUUUCAACCAUUAGUACCUAAAGGUGAUUGAAAAAAUCCUCCAUGUACGGACAGGUUAGUGCGAUCCAAGUCUUUGGAAAUAGGUGUAUUUUGCAGGACACUUUGGGAUACUGAAAACUGAUACAGAUUUUUAAGAUACCUGUCCCCAAAAUCAAUACUGAAAUAUUAUUUUAAGACUUGUUUAUUUUUUUGCUCUCUGCAAAGCAUUUACUGGAGAUCUUUUCAGCCUGGGAAUGUUCUGUCAUGAAUGUUAUCCUCAGCUGAUAAGCUGUCACAAGGUACUGGAGUGAAAGACAACACAAUAAACAGCCCAUGGCAUAUGCUGGAACACAGCCAUCCAUGAAUGACUCCACAUGUAUAAACACCUUCAAUAACACUGGUGGGAGAGGAGCUCAGGCACAAAUGCAAUUGUAAAGAAACAGGAAACUAAAAGUCUUGCUCACAAAUUCUUUCAUAGGAUAAAACAGCAGUUUACUGGAGCCAGCAUCUCCUCAGGAUCUUCCCUCCACUAAUUCUUUAACUGAUUAGUUCUCUCUAUGUUUUUCAUACGUAACUUGGAUUAGGAGCUCUAGGAUAAGAUAAAAAGGGGAAAAGUUGCAAGCAAAGAGAGGAAUUUAGAGUGAAAAUCUUUAUCUUGUGCAUAAACGAUAUGAUGCAGCUCUGGAGGAAUGCAUUCUGUCUUUUUCUGGUUUGUGUUUUAGACUUAAUGAGCUGUGUUGUGUUUGGAGGCAAUACACCAUUGAUAAGGUAUAAUAGUGACUCGAUACAUUUCUGGCACCCUUUGCAUACAGUUGGUAACUGAGCUAAAGUGUUUAACCAAGAGGUGACAAGAGAAUUAGUACCUGCCCCAUUCACCCUGAGCCCCACAAAAGCUGGGAAUUAUAUUUCCAAGUAUUAUUUCUGCAUGUGUGGGGAAGAUUCACUCAAUCACUCCGAGCAGCACACAGAAGGAAGAGCUUUCAAAAGAGACCUGUAUAUAAAUACAUAAAGCAAUACUAUCUGGUCGAGUGCAAGAUCAAUUUCUAAUUCAAUACAAAGCUUUUAUCUUAAAUAAAUACUUCAAUUGCAAUCACCCCAGUGCCUGGGAAUGAUCAGUAGCCUCUGGGGAUCAUAUUGACACAUACGUUCCCUGUAUCAAAAGUGGCUUAAAUCUGGGACAGCGCUUGCAACAAGUAAUGUAAAAGAAAGCUUUUUAUAACAAAGUAAACAAAAGAAGGGUCACAUUCAAGGAUGAAGAACUAUAUUACCCUGGGGGAACUGUAAUGAUUAUUUUGGUUAUUUGGUAUAAUUACAAGAAAGGCUGUGUAGAAUAACAUAGCAGAGCAUAACUUUUUUAACAACAAAAUAGAAGUGGACUUAGGAUGUUUUCUGUGGGCACUGUGUGUGCAGGCUCUUUACCAUAGACCUGUGCUUAGCUCAGAAGGCCAGAUGUCUCCUGGAAGACAGAAAUCAAUGCUGCUUUUUUGGAGAUCGUCCUUUUAUUUGCAAAAACAGUUGUCUUGUGUCUUGGCAGUGGCGUUCUCUGUUCUACCCAUUGAAUUUGCUUCUCUGGCUUGUGUUUUCCAGGGUGCAGCAGCUCCUUUCGGAGCUACUUGCUGUGCAUAAAGAUGCUACAGAAAACAUGAAGAGUGAAAAUCAUGGAAAGGAGUGAAUGGGAGUGGGGCUAGAAGUGGGCACCCAGGGGUUAUCAGCAGGAAAAUGACACACAUGAAGGACAAGUCAGGUUGAGGGAAAGUUGUUCCUGUCCUCAGAACAGUUUGCAGUGGCUAUGGGGAUAGGGACAGGGUGCCACUUCUGCCUGGGAAUUAGAGAAAGAGAUUCUUGAAAAGGUUUUUGGCUGUAUCUGGUGAACCAAAGCUUAAGAGCAUUGAUUUAAGUGUUGCACAGCUUACUUGUGAUGUAUGGAAAUGUUUCUAACAUAUUACAAACACCAUUAACUUGUGUAGCAGAGUUAGCAAUAAUAAAUUCAUUAUGGAAGUCAUUUAUAAAUGCUGCAUGUUUUAUUGUGGCUGUAGCCUUUGAGAGCACUAGUGUUUUACUGGCAGUUUUCCAUUAGGAAAAUAUUUACAAUCUUAACUCUAAUAUGAUUAAGUGCUUUGCUUGGGAAUUUUUAUGGUCACUAAUUAGGUUAAUACUGAUCAUUAGAACACAAAUAUAAUUAAUUUCCCAUAAUAUUAAAAUUAAUCACAUGCUUAAAGCUAAAUUAAACCAGUCACCAGUGAGAAUGAACAACGGCCUCAUUUCUGAUUUCACUGCCUCGAGGUUUCCCAAGUAAAACCUUCACUUACAUUAUAGGGAUGGACCAUGUGUGUUUCAGUAACUAUCCAUCAGUAAUAAACUAAUUAGAGGGUAAAGAAGAACCAGGACUGACAAUCCACAAGACGUGAGGGAAUUAUUUAAUCUUUUGGGGGGAUGCAGAGAGAAUUUGUUUCAACUUUUAUGCUUUGGUUUCUUCUUUGCUGAACAGAACUAAGCAAGGGAGUCUGAAGAGCAAAUCCCCCUCACCUGUGAAAAGAUGGCUCCAAAGAGGUCCUCUGGGUCUGUUUGCUUCCUCAUGCCAUUUAAGAGAUAGCAGCUAUCAAGCCAAAGAGGAUCAGCAAAGCUAAAUAUCUUUGCUUUAGGACAGUUCCUAUCCUGACGCUUGCUGAUCCUUCAGCUUACUAAGACUGGGAAAAGAGGCAGGAACUCAAAAGCCACAGCUUCCCCAGGUCUUCUCCUCCAGGAACCCAUAUGAGAAAAGCUUUAGAGACCCUUCUUUACAUGUAAGCCUCUCCAUGUGAUUCUUUCCAUUGGAGCUGGGGAAAUCACUCCCUGGAUUUAAUUGAAAAUGUAAUUAGGGUUAACCUGAAUUUAAAUAAUUGCUCAACUAUUAAAUAGCUAUUAGCAUGCCCUAUCAUUUGCUAUAAGAGAAAUGAAAAUGUAUGUCACUGCAUCACUCCAGGAGAACACAGAUUGGGAGCUGAUAAUUGUUACUGUAAUUCCCCACCAAUGAGACCCAGGAGGUUUUUAUCCUUAUAUUACAAGCCCCCUUGUUUGUGGUAGUUUACUGCUGCUAACGGAGAGGCCGAGGUGGAUGUUGGCACAAAUAUAAAGACAUAUUCAUUCUGCGUUUGCAAAACAGAUUUACUUUCAGUGAUGCAAAAUGGAAUAUACCCAGAAUCAAAGCUCUGUACAUUUGUACCUAAUUUUAUAGUAAUGAUCCCAUCCUGCUCCUAUUAAAGAUUCAACAUUUUAAUGAGCAUUGAAUGAACAAGAGCUUUUGUCUUGGGCUCUAGAAGUGCAGCGCGGCCUAUAAGAAUGCAUAUCAUUAAGAAUAACUGCAAUUAAAUGUAGCAUCAUGUAAUUCUUUUGGAAAUGGGCUCUCUGUGUAAGUACUUGGAAGUUCUAAGUUUGUUAACUUUGUCUUCUGAAGGCUGUAAAAGGGUCCCUUAAUAGCAGUUUCUCUGGGCUUGCCAGGCAUUGAAAUUAACUCUAGAAAACUAUGUAAAAGAUGAGUCAAGAGAAAGCAGCACCUAAAGACAUAGUAAAAUUCAGGAGGUAGGUCUAAUCCACACCUGGUUUUACUUGGAGCAGUCCUUGAUUUUUUCGAACACUGUCGCCAUAUAUUGAGAAUAUGGUUUGAUCUUUUCAAAAUCACACUUCUUUGAGUGUACAUGAAAUUUCUUUUCUUGGCAUUUAUUCCCUUGAUGUCAAAACAGAAACUGCAAACAUUGGGCUAAAAGAAUAAUUAUUUCAUUUCCCUGCAGCUUCUGUAAUUGCCUUUGUGUCCUUUCUUGAACCGCUGUUCUGUAACUCCUCAGAGCCAGUCCCUUCCGUGAACAGCAGCUCACUGUUCUGAACCCCUCUGCCUACUAUGGCAACAAGAACUUAAAACGCAGUGGAAAAAUUCUGGUAUCUCCAAGUUGCCUGGUAGCAAAUAAACUGAUUAUUUCUCUCCAUUCAUAUUAACAGAUUCUGUUCUCGGAGCUUAAUUCUGUUCACUGCCCCGAGCAAAAAGGAGAGUGUUCAGAAGAGGUAUAAUUUGUUGGUGAUAAAACCACCCCCGAUCCUUUCCCAGGUUGCAUAAGUACUCCAUGCACACAGCUGCAGCCUUCAGCGUGCAGGAGCUUCAGCAGCAGCUUCCCUUCCCUGGGAGGGGAUUUUGCCAGUGGAACAACACUGGCAUGGAUUCAUCAGCCAUACGCCUCCUCUCGCUUCCCACGCACCCUUUGUACUGUCACCAUGGAGCAGUGGAGGAGCGCUGCUUCACAGGUCAAAGCCUGGUUAGACUCUGCUGAACAGGCUUCCUAAGUGUUGUUCUCUCCCUGUCCCCAGGCAACAGAAUCUAUUUCUUUGGGCAAAAUGUAAGCCAGGUGGAAUAAUGUGUUUGAAAGCUCAAAAGUCAGAUCCUUUGAUUUUUUUUUUUGCUUUAUGAUCUUAAUUUAUGCACAUAUGAAAGUGAAACAUGGCUUUUUUCUUUCUCUCCUGGUCUUUUUCCU
Strigops habroptila (Kakapo) is the source of this 6232-nucleotide long non-coding RNA. RefSeq lists it as uncharacterized. Lineage: Eukaryota; Metazoa; Chordata; Aves; Psittaciformes; Psittacidae. The record is from RefSeq and is a predicted model, not a curated record. The transcript has 4 exons.